CCCCUUCUGAAAAGCACUUGUUGGGUCUGCUUUCCCGUGGCCCAGGGAGUUGUCGUAGAAGGGUACAGCAAUAGCACAACUUUUGGGUGAGGCGACAGCUUGUGCUGCUUUGCUUCAAUCAGUUGUGUCACAUAU
Non-coding RNA from Podarcis lilfordi (Lilford's wall lizard), 135 nucleotides. NCBI's taxonomy places the organism in Eukaryota, Metazoa, Chordata, Lepidosauria, Squamata, Lacertidae. The record is from the annotation of a GenBank genome assembly.